CAGUAGCCGCGGUAAUACGAAGGGGGCUAGCGUCGUUCGGAAUUACUGGGCGUAAAGCGCACGUGGGCGGAUAUUUAAGUCAGGGGUGAAAUCCCAGAGCUCAACUCUGGAACUGCCUUUGAUACUGGGUAUCUUGAGUAUGGAAGAGGUGAGUGGAAUUCCGAGUGUAGAGGUGAAAUUCGUAGAUAUUCGGAGGAACACCAGUGGCGAAGGCGGCUCACUGGUCCAUUACUGACGCUGAGGUGCGAAAGCGUGGGGAGCAAACAGGAUUAGAUACCCCUGUAGUCCCUGUCUCUUAUAC
Molecule: ribosomal RNA, 301 nt
Filed under: uncultured bacterium
Lineage: Bacteria
Description: partial 16S ribosomal RNA
Rfam family: Bacterial small subunit ribosomal RNA
Source: RNAcentral